AAUUCUCAACUAUACAAGUUUUUGAAACGUGUAUGGCUUGGAUCUUGGGAUUUGCGGGCUUUCACAAGUCGGCUAUCCUUAAAUGCAGUAGCAGAGCUUUUGUCGCUGAUCUCUGGUGUGAUAAUUAUCUACGCCAUUAUGAAGCGGCAUGAAUAGAGCUUUGCUUCUAAUCGUCCUUGGGACAAUAUUUGACA
RNAcentral lists this unclassified non-coding RNA (194 nucleotides) under uncultured Clitopilus. RNAcentral describes it as "sequence contains ITS2". The record is from RNAcentral. Lineage: Eukaryota; Fungi; Basidiomycota; Agaricomycetes; Agaricales; Entolomataceae.